GACGAACGCUGGCGGCGUGCCUAAUACAUGCAAGUAGAACGCUGAAGGAGGAGCUUGCUUCUCUGGAUGAGUUGCGAACGGGUGAGUAACGCGUAGGUAACCUGCCUGGUAGCGGGGGAUAACUAUUGGAAACGAUAGCUAAUACCGCAUAAUAGUAGAUGUUGCAUGACAUUUGCUUAAAAGGUGCAAUUGCAUCACUACCAGAUGGACCUGCGUUGUAUUAGCUAGUUGGUGAGGUAACGGCUCACCAAGGCGACGAUACAUAGCCGACCUGAGAGGGUGAUCGGCCACACUGGGACUGAGACACGGCCCAGACUCCUACGGGAGGCAGCAGUAGGGAAUCUUCGGCAAUGGACGGAAGUCUGACCGAGCAACGCCGCGUGAGGGAAGAAGGUUUUCGGAUCGUAAAGCUCUGUUGUAAGAGAAGAACGAGUGUGAGAGUGGAAAGUUCACACUGUGACGGUAUCUUACCAGAAAGGGACGGCUAACUACGUG
Molecule: ribosomal RNA, 495 nt
Filed under: uncultured bacterium
Lineage: Bacteria
Description: partial 16S ribosomal RNA
Rfam family: Bacterial small subunit ribosomal RNA
Source: RNAcentral